CGGGGUGUGGCUCAGUUUGGCUAGAGCGCCGUGUUAGGGACGCGGAGGUCGCAAGUUCGAAUCUUGUCACUCCGA
This 75-nucleotide transfer RNA is filed under the name Lachnospiraceae bacterium XPB1003. It matches the Rfam family "tRNA". Rfam says of the family: Transfer RNA (tRNA) molecules are approximately 80 nucleotides in length. Their secondary structure includes four short double-helical elements and three loops (D, anti-codon, and T loops). Lineage: Bacteria; Bacillati; Bacillota; Clostridia; Lachnospirales; Lachnospiraceae. RNAcentral also lists the same sequence under 1 other name. The record is from Rfam by way of RNAcentral.